This 768-nucleotide ribosomal RNA is filed under the name uncultured euryarchaeote. RNAcentral's name for it is "bacterial SSU rRNA". The stretch from base 1 to 437 matches the Rfam family "Archaeal small subunit ribosomal RNA", at positions 469 to 1478 of the family's 1478-position model. Lineage: Archaea; Methanobacteriati; Methanobacteriota. The record is from RNAcentral.
GGUAAUACCGGCAGCUCAAGUGGUCGUCGCUUUUAUUGGGCCUAAAACGUCCGUAGCCUGUUUGGUAAAUCUGUGGGUAAAUCAACCAGCUUAACUGGUUGAAUUCUGCAGAGACUGCCAGACUAGGGACCGGGAGAGGUGUGGGGUACUCGAGGGGUAGGGGUAAAAUCCUGUCAUCCUUCGAGGACCACCAGUUGCGAAGGCGCCACACUGGAACGGAUCCGACGGUCAGGGACGAAGCCUAGGGGCACGAACCGGAUUAGAUACCCGGGUAGUCCUAGGUGUAAACGCUGUGAACUUGGUGUCGGGGGUCCGCAAGGGGUCCCCGGUGCCGGAGUGAAGAUGUUAAGUUCACUGCCUGGGGAGUACGGUCGCAAGGCUGAGGGUAAUACCGGCAGCUCAAGUGGUCGUCGCUUUUAUUGGGCCUAAAACGUCCGUAGCCUGUUUGGUAAAUCUGUGGGUAAAUCAACCAGCUUAACUGGUUGAAUUCUGCAGAGACUGCCAGACUAGGGACCGGGAGAGGUGUGGGGUACUCGAGGGGUAGGGGUAAAAUCCUGUCAUCCUUCGAGGACCACCAGUUGCGAAGGCGCCACACUGGAACGGAUCCGACGGUCAGGGACGAAGCCUAGGGGCACGAACCGGAUUAGAUACCCGGGUAGUCCUAGGUGUAAACGCUGUGAACUUGGUGUCGGGGGUCCGCAAGGGGUCCCCGGUGCCGGAGUGAAGAUGUUAAGUUCACUGCCUGGGGAGUACGGUCGCAAGGCUGAG